This 253-nucleotide ribosomal RNA is filed under the name uncultured bacterium. Its description in RNAcentral is "partial 16S ribosomal RNA". It matches the Rfam family "Bacterial small subunit ribosomal RNA", at positions 524 to 776 of the family's 1533-position model. The record is from RNAcentral.
UACGGGGGGGGCAAGCGUUGUUCGGAAUUACUGGGCGUAAAGGGCUCGUAGGCGGCCAACUAAGUCGGAUGUGAAAUCCCCAGGCUUAACCUGGGAACUGCAUCCGAUACUGGAUGGCUUGAAUCCGGGAGAGGGAUGCAGAAUUCCAGGUGUAGCAGUGAAAUGCGCAGAUAUCAGGAGGAACACCAAUGGCGAAGGCAGCUCGCUGGAACGGUACUGACGCUGAGGCGCGAAAGCGUGGGGAGCGAACAGG